UCCAUGUGCACCUGCUGUGUCUUUUCACCAGCAGCCUCCUUCCUGAAGUCUGAGAUGUUUCUGCAGGAAACAUGUGGAGAAAAUAGCUGAAUGUUUGACCAUGUGUCCUCCUGCUGGUUCCACAUACAUGAUUAUAGCGAUGAUAUGAUUAGAGUGACGAUAUAAUUAUGUAGAGGAGGUUUCCUCAUGGGAGCAGUGGAGGAGAUGAAAACCUGUCUGCUGUGUUCAGAUUUCAGUACGAUGGAGCAUCUUUGGGAUCCAUGGAGGCUCCUCUUCACAACUUCAAGGACUUAAAAGAUCUGCUGCUGACGUCUCGGUGCCUCGAACUCGACGGAUCGGAGCUGAUUUGGUGACAUGAAGGAGAUCUACACAAUAUCAGGCAAAUCAGAGACGGUUCAGCACAAACUGUCCUAAACAUCUGGUGAUAUGAGAUGAAGGAGCGUAUAAUAUACAGCGAUGUGGGGUCUCAAUACCUUAAUAUUAAAUUAUUUGAGUAAAUUUUGUAUUUCUAAUGUAAU
This is a long non-coding RNA of Amphiprion ocellaris (clown anemonefish), 518 nucleotides long. Lineage: Eukaryota; Metazoa; Chordata; Actinopteri; Pomacentridae. The record is from Ensembl.